GGCGUAGCGCAGUCCGGUAGCGCGCCUGCUUUGGGAGCAGGUGGUCGCAGGUUCGAAUCCUGUCGCC
Molecule: transfer RNA, 67 nt
Filed under: chicken gut metagenome
Rfam family: tRNA
About the family: Transfer RNA (tRNA) molecules are approximately 80 nucleotides in length. Their secondary structure includes four short double-helical elements and three loops (D, anti-codon, and T loops). Further hydrogen bonds mediate the characteristic L-shaped molecular structure. tRNAs have two regions of fundamental functional importance: the anti-codon, which is responsible for specific mRNA codon recognition, and the 3' end, to which the tRNAs corresponding amino acid is attached (by aminoacyl-tRNA synthetases). tRNAs cope with the degeneracy of the genetic code in two manners: having more than one tRNA (with a specific anti-codon) for a particular amino acid; and 'wobble' base-pairing, i.e. permitting non-standard base-pairing at the 3rd anti-codon position.
Source: RNAcentral